CGUGAUUAAUUCCAAAUUUUUAACACAUUAAAAUGAUCUAAUGCAAAUAAACUACUUAAGCAUGUGAAGUUGCGUCAUUAAUGUAUUUCACCACAUGCAGUUAGAUGAUCUUGAAAGUCAGGAGUUAAUCAUUCAGAGAAUCUACAAAGGCACAAGCACCUGAAACCCGGUAGGAUGAAAGUGAUAUGUGGCAAAGAGAAGUUCUUCACUUUUUCUUUUUCCAGUAACAUGAGAUCAACCUGUACAAAAUUCCGUCAGUGUGAACAGGAGCAAGUCAAAACUGUCUGAUUUUCACUACGUGAACUCACAAGAGCAUUGACGAGGAGGCACUGCUGCUUAUGCAAGUAAUCAGAUUUUUCUCCAGUUUUACACCAAAGACUGAAAUGACUGAGAAUGUGAAUGUUAUAUCAAGCAUGCACAGUAAUACGAUUUUCCAAGUCAACAAGGUGGACGAUUUCCUUUUGGUGCUCAGAUGAAUAAAUUACCUUAACUAAUGGAUUUUACAAAA
Long non-coding RNA from Carassius gibelio (silver crucian carp), 508 nucleotides. RefSeq lists it as uncharacterized. NCBI's taxonomy places the organism in Eukaryota, Metazoa, Chordata, Actinopteri, Cypriniformes, Cyprinidae. The transcript has 3 exons. The record is from RefSeq and is a predicted model, not a curated record.